GGUGUAAACCACACACCUGAGAACUUCUGCUUCUGAUGCACUGGAAUCAACCACUAAAUGAAUGGACAACCAACAACCGAGAAAAUGGCACACAACUGGUCCUGCACACCGGCAGAAUACAUUCUCCUAUAAGUGCAAACAUUUCCACCCAACAAUAAGGGGCCCAUCCAGUGUACAGACAGCUCUCCACGUACUUAAACCGACGCUGGGAGAACUUCAUGCAUCCAGAAAGUGUAGUAUGGGGUGCAUCAGCAGGUACAUACGGCACAGCCAGACGCUUCUGCUCCGCCGUGAGCUCCCCAGGGUUUCCACACAUCCCUAUAAGAAGCCGGCUUCCCAGACUCACCCGGAGAAGUCGGUGGACAGGAUGCCAUAGCUGAAGAUGUAGGCACGGCUGAUCUGGCAGAUUGUGAGG
This is a non-coding RNA of Paramormyrops kingsleyae, 415 nucleotides long. NCBI's taxonomy places the organism in Eukaryota, Metazoa, Chordata, Actinopteri, Osteoglossiformes, Mormyridae. The record is from RefSeq and is a predicted model, not a curated record.